UGGGGAAUUUUUGGACAAUGGGCGAAAGCCUGAUCCAGCAAUGCCGCGUGUGUGAAGAAGGCCUUCGGGUUGUAAAGCACUUUUGUCCGGAAAGAAAUCCUUGGCUCUAAUACAGUCGGGGGAUGACGGUACCGGAAGAAUAAGCACCGGCUAACUACGUGCCAGCAGCCGCGGUAAUACGUAGGGUGCAAGCGUUAAUCGGAAUUACUGGGCGUAAAGCGUGCGCAGGCGGUUUGCUAAGACCGAUGUGAAGUCCCCGGGCUCAACCUGGGAACUGCAUUGGUGACUGGCAGGCUAGAGUAUGGCAGAGGGGGGUAGAAUUCCACGUGUAGCAGUGAAAUGCGUAGAGAUGUGGAGGAAUACCGAUGGCGAAGGCAGCCCCCUGGGCCAAUACUGACGCUCAUGCACGAAAAGCGUGGGGAGCAAAACAGGAUUAGAUACCCUGGUAGUCCACGCCCUAAACGAUGUCAACUAGUUGUUGGGGAUUCAUUUCCUUAGUAACGUAGCUAACGCGUGAAGUUGACCGCCUGGGGAGUACGGUCGCAAGAUUAAAACUCAAAUGAA
Molecule: ribosomal RNA, 564 nt
Filed under: uncultured bacterium
Lineage: Bacteria
Description: partial 16S ribosomal RNA
Rfam family: Bacterial small subunit ribosomal RNA
Source: RNAcentral